RNAcentral lists this ribosomal RNA (499 nucleotides) under uncultured bacterium. RNAcentral's name for it is "bacterial SSU rRNA". It matches the Rfam family "Bacterial small subunit ribosomal RNA", at positions 15 to 518 of the family's 1533-position model. The record is from RNAcentral.
GAUCGAUGGCUCAGGAUGAACGCUGGCGGCGUGCUUAACACAUGCAAGUCGAACGGAGUUUUAACGGAAGUUUCGGAUGGAAGUUAGAAACUAGUGGCGGACGGGUGAGUAACGCGUGGGUAACCUGCCUCAUACAGGGGGAUAACAGUUAGAAAUGACUGCUAACACCGCAUAAUAUAGCGAAACCGCAUGAUUUUGCUAUCAAAUAUUUAUAGGUAUGAGAUGGGCCCGCGUCUGAUUAGCUAGUUGGUGGGGUAAAAGCCUACCAAGGCGACGAUCAGUAGCCGGCUUGAGAGAGUGACCGGCCACAUUGGGACUGAGACACGGCCCAAACUCCUACGGGAGGCAGCAGUGGGGAAUAUUGGACAAUGGGGGAAACCCUGAUCCAGCCGACGCCGCGUGAGUGAAGAAGUAUUUCGGUAUGUAAAGCUCUAUCAGCAGGGAAGAUAAUGACAGUACCUGACUAAGAAGCCCCGGCUAACUACGUGCCAGCCGCGGC